CAGUAGCCGCGGUAAUACGAAGGGAGCUAGCGUUGUUCGGAAUUACUGGGCGUAAAGCGCACGUAGGCGGUUCGUUAAGUCUGUUGUGAAAGCCCCGGGCUCAACCUGGGAAUGGCAAUGGAUACUGGCGAGCUAAAGUGUGUCAGAGGAUGGUGGAAUUCCCGGUGUAGCGGUGAAAUGCGUAGAGAUCGGGAGGAACAUCAGUGGCGAAGGCGGCCAUCUGGGACAACACUGACACUGAGGCACGAAAGCGUGGGGAGCAAACAGGAUUAGAUACCCCGGUAGUCCCUGUCUCUUAUAC
Molecule: ribosomal RNA, 301 nt
Filed under: uncultured bacterium
Lineage: Bacteria
Description: partial 16S ribosomal RNA
Rfam family: Bacterial small subunit ribosomal RNA
Source: RNAcentral